CUUAAGCAUAUCAAUAAGCGGAGGAAAAGAAACCAACUGGGAUUGCCCUAGUAACGGCGAGUGAAGCGGCAAUAGCUCAAAUUUGAAAUCUGGCUCUCUUUGGGGGUCCGAGUUGUAAUUUGCAGAGGGUGCUUUGGCGUUGACGGCGGUCUAAGUUCCUUGGAACAGGACAUCGCAGAGGGUGAGAAUCCCGUUUGUGGUCGCCAGUCUUCACCGUGUAAAGCCCCUUCGACGAGUCGAGUUGUUUGGGAAUGCAGCUCUAAAUGGGAGGUAAAUUUCUUCUAAAGCUAAAUACCGGCCAGAGACCGAUAGCGCACAAGUAGAGUGAUCGAAAGAUGAAAAGCACUUUGGAAAGAGAGUCAAAUAGCACGUGAAAUUGUUGAAAGGGAAGCGCUUGCAGCCAGACUUGCCUGUAGUUGCUCAUCCGGGCUCUUGCCCGGAGCACUCUUCUGCAGGCAGGCCAGCAUCAGUUUGGGCGGCUGGAUAAAGACCUCUGUCAUGUAUCUUCCUUCGGGAUGACCUUAUAGGGGAGGUGUAAUGCAGUCAGCCUGGACUGAGGUCCGCGCAUUUGCUAGGAUGCUGGCGUAAUGGCUGUAAGCGGCCCGUCUUGAAACACGGACCAAGGAGUCUAACAUCUAUGCGAGUGUUUGGGUGUCAAGCCCGGGCGCGCAAUGAAAGUGAACGGAGGUGGGAACCCUCUCGGGGGUGCACCAUCGACCGAUCCUGAUGUCUUCGGAUGGAUUUGAGUAAGAGCAUAGCUGUUGGGACCCGAAAGAUGGUGAACUAUGCUUGAAUAGGGUGAAGCCAGAGGAAACUCUGGUGGAGGCUCGCAGCGGUUCUGACGUGCAAAUCGAUCGUCAAAUUUGGGCAUAGGGGCGAAAGACUAAUCGAAC
This 893-nucleotide ribosomal RNA is filed under the name Macrodiplodiopsis desmazieri. RNAcentral describes it as "eukaryotic LSU rRNA". It matches the Rfam family "Eukaryotic large subunit ribosomal RNA", at positions 33 to 940 of the family's 3401-position model. Lineage: Eukaryota; Fungi; Ascomycota; Dothideomycetes; Pleosporales. The record is from RNAcentral.